This is a long non-coding RNA of Scylla paramamosain (green mud crab), 1048 nucleotides long. RefSeq lists it as uncharacterized. NCBI's taxonomy places the organism in Eukaryota, Metazoa, Arthropoda, Malacostraca, Decapoda, Portunidae. The record is from RefSeq and is a predicted model, not a curated record. The transcript is spliced from 3 exons.
GCCCCGCCGCGGGGACACCUCCAUCACCUCCACCCUGUUGUCCCCUGGGUCAUGCUCCUCAUUCUCCUCCAGCUGGGAUUCCUCAUGGUGCAGGUCCAGCUGUGGGGCACUGGCAGUAGUACUCUGGGGACAACAGUGAGGUCAAGCAGUGUGAGCAGCAGUGGGUCGGUCACCUGGGAUGCUUCGGGCAGGUCGUCACAGUGGGCAGCGCCAGCACAGGUGCGCAAGGCUUCCAGGCGGCGGUGCAGCUCAGCCAGCCGCUUGUUGGACAGCGUAAAAGCAACGUUCCUCAGCUGCCUGAAACUGUGCCAAUAAGGACUGAUGCUUUUUUUGUUGACUCCUACAACAAACUGACAAAUAUUAGGUUACAAGGAGAAACAUUCCCCUUUUGGUGCCAUUUACAAGAAACGGCACCAAAUAUAUUCAUUGGAUGCCUGCUACAAGAAUUAUUCUGUUUUUUUUGUCACUUGUCAUAAACUGUCCAGAUGUUUUUGUGUUCUAAUCCAACAAGUGUGCUGCUAACACACACUGCCACUUUUAUGAUGAGAAAAAUUAAUGUGCAGUAUGAUGCAAUAUGGUACUGUAUUUCAUUAUUUAUGAGAAAGACAGAGAGCAGUGAAUAGACAAAAUAAAGCAAACUUCAUGUGUGAGGUGUGGUGACUCACUUCCUGUUGCACCAGCACUGUUCCUGCGCUGAGGUCUCAUUCUCCAGGGUGAUGGCAGUCUGGCGCCGGCCAGUGGCAGCAUGGACAGGGAAUACCUCAAACCUGUUGGUGCUGAGGGGGAGGUGGCCAGCACUGCCCCACCCGCCCCCAACCUCGUCCUCCACCCCUGCCUGUGUCUCCUUGGACUCCUCCUCCUCACCCUGGCUCUCCUGACUACUGCCUACAAAUAGAUAGAUGUAGACUUAAUACCUGUCCAUUUUUGUGUAAGAGGACAGUGAGUGGGCCUAGGUCAACAAAAAAUUAGCCCUUUCACUACUGCUAUUUGGUACAUCUUUACUUGUUCUACACCCACCUCCAAUCAUUAAAUUGGAGAAAUUGCAAAA